UGGCUGCUAGAGUUCUGCAUCUUCGCAGGAUUAUGAGCUAUGGUUAAUUAUAUCAUCUCUUAUCUUCAUGUCAUCCAUAUCGAGAAGCAAGCACUCUCCAGGAAUUUGUGUUUUGCAUAAAGACACAGCCCAGCAAAGUUAGGAUCUAUUGAAAGGACAUGAAGAGACUCCCAUCAGGAAAGAAACAGGCCAGUGGCUCACUGCCAGGCCCAGUUUCCCAGGCCCACUCUUGAUGGUUUUUUGACAGUUCAGCCAUUGAGUAACAACCCAACCACCAGAACUGCUGAAUGGCAUGAAAAGGACACAUAGCUACCACCUGCUGACCUCAGAUCAUCACAAUCAGGCUCUGAAUGCAUAAAAAAGUAACACUCAAUUUGAUUAAAUCCAGUGUUGUGCAGGAGAAAGAGAUGAGCUUUGGAGCACAUGGUCCUAGGUCCAAAUCCCAGUUUUGCUCCUUUCCAUUGCCUUUAAUUAAUUACUGGUAUAUCCAUUAAUCUUUCUAAGUCUGUGUUUCCACUCUAUAAAAUAACUUCUAAAUGAAGUACAUGUAUAGACUGCCUAGAAUAUACUGUGGGCACACAUUCAAUGUUAUCACCUCCCUCCACACUCAGAUGCUCUCACACUCUUAGCAUAAGAACAUCACGACUCUGUAUCCUUCUGUAAAUGUGAGUGAUCACAUACACACUCAAUUAUAUCAACCUCAGACAUGCCUCUUAAGCUCUGCAGAUCACCAGUCAUUACAGUCAUCAUAAAAACAAGCCCACAAAAUGGGACGUGGAACAGCAAAGUCUAUGUCCACUGUUCUCCCUCCUUCUCAGAGGGAGAAGAUUACCACAUGAUAUCUGAAGAGGCUAUGUUUAUUAUUGGUAUUCUUUUCUGUACACAGAAACACAGUUCAUUAAAAUAACAGGCCUAAAAGGAGACCAGAGAUUGGGUGACACAUGCUUUACUUGUGGGCCAAUGACAGAGCUCUUAAAACAAAUGGUAUUUUCUCACUAAACAUCAAAAUACAAACAAAACUGCAGUCUUUAUAGCCCAUUCCCUGCAGUACUCCUCUGGGUUCUUCUUCAUCAGCUGAGACCCUGGUGAAAUCCCUGUGCUGUAGCAUCAUAAUAGUAGGUUGGCAAUUUCAGCUACAGAGAGAUUCCAGUGGCAAUACCAAGGGCCCAUCUGGGGCUGCUGGGUUGUUGAUCAAAUGCUCUUCAUAUAUGUGAAUGGUGUCCCUGCCUGGCUUCUUGAAUAUGAACCAUCAUGGGAUGUGUUUGUAUACAUGUGCUUUGCUCUUACAUGCAGACUUAGAUUGUUUGGCUGCCAGUACCCUCACUGGCAUCUUCCCAAAACACUCAAAUAAUACAGCAAAUAAAUAUUACUUUUAUAGAGUAGGCAGUACUGUUCCAGUACUGGCAAAUCAAUAUACUUUUACAAGGUUUUGGCUGGGGUGCAGAGGGAGAAGAUUGCCACAUGGUAUCUGAAGAGGCUAUGUUUAUUAUUGGUAUUCUUUUUGUUUUUGUAUAUUCCUCAGAAGGAAUUGUGGUCAACAGCAUUUCCUCACUUUCACAUGAAAUAAGCCCAUGAGCCGAGAAGGCCAGGCAUCUCUCACCCCAGAACCUGUGUCAGAGUCAUCUCUGCCCUUGUCUCAGAUGUGCCUUCUUAGGCUGAGCUAACACCAUUGAAGAUGAUGGCUCUUGUCCUCUUCUGAAGCUCUGUGAUUGGUUGGGCAGCCCUCAUCCCUGAGGAGGCUGUAUGUCUAUCCUCGAUCUGACCCUAUUCCAGAAUUCUGCCUCAUGCUUUUUUGUAACAGAUUAUGAUUCUGGUUUCUUCACCUGGACUGAACGGGGGAUGGUUUAACUUUACUGGAGAGAGAUGAUGCACACCAACACUUCCCAACCCUUGAUCCAUGGGGCAUUAUACUUUUUAUCAUAUAAAGAAGGCUUUCUAUGACCAGCACUUGAGGAAAUGUUAAGUUAGACUGUUUUAUUUAGUGCAUAACUUUUGAUAGGCUAAAAGGCACUAUGAUUCUAUGAGAAUGGGAUCCAGUAUUGAGUGCUUCUCAGGAACAUGUAGCCAACAUGUUUCUCAUACUUAUCACAGACUCAGUGCCCUAAGGAAUAUACCUUGGGGAACUCUCAGGUAGACUUAAUAGGUAAAAUGAGAUGACAACCCCUAUCCACACUAGAUCUCUCAUUCUUCAGCAUGAACUUACUUUCCGAUAAAGAAGACUGUCACAUAUUUACUUCCAGGCACUAUUUCCCCUGAGGCACUGCCUGAAUACCCCUGCUCUUCAAAACUUUCUCCCAUCUACUCUCUCACACAAAUUUAUUAUAGAUGUUUUAAUUUCAUAUUUGAAAUGAAACUUUGAAUGAAAGUUCAAAGUGUUCUUAAGGUACCAAACCAGAAUGUUGUUGUCUCCAAUCAACAGUAUUUGCUGAGCUUUAUUAUGUGUAAUAAACCUUAUUGAUAAGGGAAGAGAAAAAGAGAAACGUUCUGAGAAAGAAGAUGAGGACUAGUGCUCUGCAGAUAAGUUGGUGAUCUGGCAGCUUUGCUGAGACCAGACAUAAGGCAUGUUGGCAUUUCCUGAGCAAGUGGGAGGAUUGUUGAGAGAUCUAGUUAGAAACCACCUAAUGGGUUCCUUUCAGACUCAAGAGAGACUUCCAGAUUCCAGAGAGGGCAUAAGAUGAGAAUCCCUUUAAAUGCUUCAGGGGGGUUAUCUCUUUGGUUGUUUUCAUGUAUACAUGGUGAAAAGUUUGCCUGGGAGACUGGCAACUCAAGCAGCCCAAAAGCUUUGUCAAUCCAGGAGGCAAAAGCAUUUUCCACAUGGGCGAAAGACAAUAGAUAUACGAAGGCCAGUUCUUUCCAAAAUAUAAGACAGGAAGCUUGAGCAGUUGAGCAGACAGAGGAGGGGCAUUGUAUUUUUCAUUCCUGUAACUGGGAUCCCUGCUGCAAAAAGUGUGAGUCAACUUUGUUUUUGCUUUUGUCUUUAACUAUCAAAGCACACCGUGUGGGAGAUGCUAGCCAGGAUCAAAAUGUAGCAUCAGUUGUAAAGCUUUCCACCAGUACUCCAUAGCCCUUCCUAAAAAGUGAGUACAGAGGUAUCUGACAAAGGGAGGGGAGAGGGGAAUAAAGGAAAGGCAGGGAGAGUAAAGGGAGAAGAUGAGGAGCUGAGUGAGAUUUCUUCAGUAGUAAGUGCUAUUGUGUAUUACUUACCUACUAGUCACAAUGGAAGAAAAUACCCUUCUAUUUCAGCAUCUAUUUAAUUUUACUCCUGGUUUCUUUUCAUUCUAACAGUAAGUUUUUACUUUCAAGAAAGAAUUCUCACUCCUGUUUUUGAGACAUGGGUAACAGACUUGUGGUUGCCAAGAGAGAGGAGAGAGGGAGUGGGAUAGACUAGGAGUUUAGGGUUAGUAGAUGGAAACUAUUACAUUUAGAAUGGAUAAACAGUGAAGUUCUACACAGGGAACUAUAUCCAACCUCCUGGGAUAGACCAUGAUAGAAAAGAAUAUAAAAAAUAAUGUAUGUAUGGGAUUUCCUAUUGUGGUGCAGCAGAAACAAAUCUGACUAGGAUCCAUGAGUAUGCGGGUUUGAUCCCUGGCCUUGCUCAGUGGGUUAAGGAUCUGGCGUUCCCAUGAGCUGUAGUGUAGGUUGCAGACACAGCUCAGAUCUAGUGUUGCUGUGGCUGUGGUGUAGCCUGGCAGCUGUAGCUCCAAUUCAACCCCUAGCCUGGGAACCUCAGAAUGCCAUGGGUGCAGCCCUAAAAAAAAUGUGUAUAUAUAUAUGACUGAGUCACUUUGCUGUACAGCAGAAAUUGGGACAACACUGUAAAUCAACUAUACUUUAACAAACAUGGAUUCCUCUAUGAGGUCUGGGGGGGUGGGCUUCUUUUUAUAACCAGCUAUGUCAUAUUAAUGCCUCUGUCUUACAGGAAUCCCCUGAGAGGUGAAAUAGCUGAGAAAGGAAUAAAACCUGGUGGUUGUUGACUUAAUGGGCAGCCAGGGAAUUUGGCUCUCUAUCCAUCUUCACAAGUUUUCGUACAAAGCUGUAACAAAGAAGUGGGUAGGAGCAAACAGGAGAGCUCCUCGUGCCUCUCAGACUGGACAUCACUAAGUCUACAAACAACAAAUAUGAUAUCAAUCUCAUAUCUACAUGGAAAUUUACAGUGCACAAAGCACAUCAUAUGUAUGUGUGUACGUGUGUAUGUAUAUCUCUUUAUGUAUGUAUGUGUGUGUGUAUAUGUGUGUUUAUGUAUGUGUGUGUGUGUACAUAUAUAUAUAUUCACUCAUUUAAUCCUCAUCAAAACAAUAAAAGCUUUGGAAAUAUUAUUCUUUAUUCCUUUUCAUACAGAUAACAAAGGCCUCAAAGAGAUAAAGUGAUUUGUUUGAUGCCAGGGCAAUAGUAAUUGGUAAAGCUGAGACAGGAGCUCAGAUUCUAUGACUUCAAGUCUGAUGUACUUUGCAUUUGCACUAUACAGGGAAACUGAGGCACUGAAAGAAGGUCAGUGAUUCCACCAAAGACACAUGGCUGUUUGGAAGAGAACCUAAACCAAACAGAUUACUCCAAGGUGACAGAACUAUUGUAGGGAAGCAGAAGGGGACUGAUAGGUAAGGUUUGGUAGAAUUCUCCACAUGAUUUCACAACAUCAUUUUAGAAGUUGAAAGGACUUAGAGGAGGAGAAAGAAAGAGAAAAUGCAAUUACUCACUUAUCCCCUCCCUUAUAGCCUUGAGGAAAUUCUUCCUAGGAUUUUUAACAUCUUGCUAAGAAUAAACAAAAGGUCAGGAGGUUCAAGGUGAAGCUGAGCUUCCCCCUAGGAAGGUCCCAAAGCCUGUCCUUCCUCACAAGCAUCUGCACAGUGUUUGGAGGCCUCAGCCACUUCAGGCAGGGACCAUCACAGAGCUCCCUAAGUCUCAGCCCUACUGGCAGGCAUAGCAGGUGUAACAUACACAGUCCCAUUUCAGCUACUAGAUUUAAAUUGUGUGUGUGUGCGUAUGUGUGUGGAGUGGGGCUGAAAGGCUUCCAUUUAAUUUAUGAGCCCUCAUGGAUAGCCACACUCACAACUAAGGUGCUAUUUCUGGGAUUUGACAAAUUUAAUUUUGUGGUUGCCAGGUUUCUUUCAUUUUUAGGAAAAGUAGUUCCAGCCCUAUUUGGAGUUUCCAAAUUUAGAGCUGAAUCCAAGUUUUUACUCUAUCCUUGCUAUAAAUGGGAUCCUAAUCAUUUUGAGGGCCUAGGGGAAAAUGUGUAAGCAUGAAAUUCAUCUUUUUCAUAUAUUUGCAUUUCCCCUCUAUAAGAUGGGAACAGUGGUACCCACUGUAACUACUUGGGGGUAGGGGGAGAGGGGCAUGGGGUAUCUGAAUAUCACUGAAUCUUGGCCUAAGAUUAGCCUACAGAAAAGAAUCUCAGACUCCUAGACUCCUAGUCUGGAAGCUGGAAGAUUCUCAUGAGGUAAGAUGGCCUAGUUGUAAAAUGCCCUGUGUGGAGCCUUUAUUUCUCUGUCGGUUUCUUUGCCUGUAUAACUGGUGGUAGUUUCUUCCUCAUGGGGUUGUUGAGAAAAUUAAAUUAUUUAUGUUAAUUACAGAGGGUCUUAAUCUUAUAAUGUUUAGCUAUUAUUUGUUAUUAAUAUCCCUAUUAUGUGGCUUCAUUGAGAAGACAGCAAGCGUUCACACUCAUAGGACACAAUGCACUGUGAAGUUCUGACUUAAAAAGUAAAAGCAACUUCUCUAGAGGAUAUGUGAGGGCACCUCCAUAAUUUCAUUGUAAUAAAUUCAGAACACAUUUUCUAUAAUUCAGCUACCCUCUCAUCAAAGAAUUUAAUGUUUGCUUUAGGCCAGUAAAAAAAGAUUUGGUAUUGUGUAUGCUGUGAUUGCAAGAAAAAGACCAAGCACUCUGUAGAGAGAUUAGUGGAGACUUCUCUGAGCAGAAACAACUAUAGAAUCUGCUCCAUAACUUCAGGAAUAGGCUCAGUGGCUACUGAAGAUCUAGUGACUUGGUUCAAGAGUCACUGUGAAAAUUUAACAGGAGUAGCCAAGGUGGCAUCGGCCUAGUGCUCUGGCCCAGGUGAUCAGCCUGUGGAAAUCUAAGGAGAACAAGGGAAGGUUGAGCCAAAGGUGACUCACCCAAAGUGACACAACCAAUAGGUCCUGCAGUUCAAAAUCAAUAGCAAUCAGUUUGAUUUCAAAGCCUGUUGAGCCAGACUGCCACUUGGACUUUUGAGACAGGGCUUAUAGUUUUGUCUUUUUUGAUAGAAAACUAUGAGGAGAGGAAAGUGCUAAUGUCAUCUGACAGAAGAAAGGGGAAAAUUAGCAAUUACCCUGCUAUGAAUCUGGGCUGUCCUCAUGAUGCAGAAGCUACUUGGAAGAAUAAUCCUACAAGGAGUCAUGGAUAGGAGUCCCUGAGGGCUGCCUCUCUCAGCAGGCUGUGUGAGAAGCCAGCCACAAGGGGCUGAGGACUUGGUGUCACUCUGAAAUUUGGUCUCUUCAGUUUAAAGAACUUCCCAAGGAAAGAUGGCUUUCUAAGGAGUUUUAUAGUAUUAAGCCAUAAACAAACUCUGGAACUGAGCCCAACAUGUGACAGAGCACUGUGCCCGGCACAGUGGUAUCCGAGCAGUGCAACAUGGCUGGUAACCAAGAAAGGGUCUAAUGAUACUCACAUUAUUUGCCAUAACAAAUAUGGCAAAGUGAAGGGAAUUUUCUUCCCCCUAAAAUUAUUGGGAGUUCCCGUUGUGGUUCAUCAGGUUGCAAACCUGACUACUAUCCAGAAGGAUUCAGGUUCGAUCCCCAGCCUUGCUCUUUGGGUUAAGGAUCUGGUGUUGCCAUAAGCUGUGGUGUAGGUUGCAGAUGUGGCUCGGAUCCCACAUUGCUGUGGUUGUGGUGUAGGCCAGUAGCCACAGCUCCAAUUAGACCCCUAGCCUGGAAACUUCCAUAUGCUGCAAU
This 6921-nucleotide long non-coding RNA is filed under the name Sus scrofa (pig). RNAcentral's name for it is "lncRNA (ENSSSCG00000058427.1)". Lineage: Eukaryota; Metazoa; Chordata; Mammalia; Artiodactyla; Suidae. The record is from RNAcentral.